CCUGUCAGAAUCGGCAGAGAACACAAUCUUGAAAGAAACACCCGUCUGGAACGGAGAAAGUCGGCCUGAUCACCGAAACAAUAACGUCGACCUGUAUACCAAAAUAAAUGGUAACGCAGGGAUAACCAUGGCCUGAACACCACAUCCGCUGGGGAUUAUUAUUUCCUUUUUUAUCUUGAACCCCGAAAUUUUUUCCUUCUUUUUCAUUUUCAUUGUCUGAACCCCACCUCGGUCUGGAUACCGCCUCGGCCUGAACACCGGAAGA
RNAcentral lists this long non-coding RNA (265 nucleotides) under Lathyrus oleraceus (garden pea). Its description in RNAcentral is "Pisum sativum (pea) long non-coding RNA (PSAT_LNC039607)". The record is from RNAcentral. Lineage: Eukaryota; Viridiplantae; Streptophyta; Magnoliopsida; Fabales; Fabaceae.